CCUACGGGAGGCAGCAGUGAGGAAUAUUGGUCAAUGGACGAGAGUCUGAACCAGCCACGUAGCGUGAAGGAUGACUGCCCUAUGGGUUGUAAACUUCUUUUAUAUGGGAAUAAAAUGUUCCACGUGUGGGAUUUUGUAUGUACCAUAUUAAUAAGGAUCGGCUAACUCCGUGCCAGCAGCCGCGGUAAUACGGAGGAUCCGAGCGUUAUCCGGAUUUAUUGGGUUUAAAGGGAGCGUAGGUGGAUUGUUAAGUCAGUUGUGAAAGUUUGCGGCUCAACCGUAAAAUUGCAGUUGAAACUGGCAGUCUUGAGUACAGUAGAGGUGAGCGGAAUUCGUGGUGUAGCGGUGAAAUGCGUAGAUAUCACGAAGAACUCCGAUUGCGAAGGCAGUUCACUGGACUGCAACUGACACUGAGGCUCGAAAGUGUGGGUAUCAAACAGGAUUAGAUACCCUUGUAGUC
This 460-nucleotide ribosomal RNA is filed under the name uncultured bacterium. RNAcentral's name for it is "partial 16S ribosomal RNA". It matches the Rfam family "Bacterial small subunit ribosomal RNA", at positions 338 to 795 of the family's 1533-position model. The record is from RNAcentral.